AUGGACGAAAGUCUGAUGGAGCAACGCCGCGUGAGUGAUGAAGGGUUUCGGCUCGUAAAACUCUGUUGUUGGAGAAGAACAGGUGUGAGAGUAACUGUUCACAUCUUGACGGUAUCCAACCAGAAAGCCACGGCUAACUACGUGCCAGCAGCCGCGGUAAUACGUAGGUGGCAAGCGUUGUCCGGAUUUAUUGGGCGUAAAGCGAGCGCAGGCGGUUUUUUAGGUCUGAUGUGAAAGCCUUCGGCUUAACCGGAGAAGUGCAUCGGAAACCGGGAGACUUGAGUGCAGAAGAGGACAGUGGAACUCCAUGUGUAGCGGUGAAAUGCGUAGAUAUAUGGAAGAACACCAGUGGCGAAGGCGGCUGUCUGGUCUGUAACUGACGCUGAGGCUCGAAAGCAUGGGUAGCGAACAGGAUUAGAUACCCUGGUAGUCCAUGCCGUAAACGAUGAGUGCUAAGUGUUGGAGGGUUUCCGCCCUUCAGUGCUGCAGCUAACGCAUUAAGCACUCCGCCUGGGGAGUACGACCGCAAGGUUGAAACUCAAAGGAAUUGACGGGGGCCCGCACAAGCGGUGGAGCAUGUGGUUUAAUUCGAUGCUACGCGAAGAACCUUACCAGGUCUUGACAU
Molecule: ribosomal RNA, 625 nt
Filed under: Lactobacillus sp. oral taxon 424
Lineage: Bacteria; Bacillati; Bacillota; Bacilli; Lactobacillales; Lactobacillaceae
Description: bacterial SSU rRNA
Rfam family: Bacterial small subunit ribosomal RNA
Source: RNAcentral